This is a long non-coding RNA of Antechinus flavipes (yellow-footed antechinus), 730 nucleotides long. RefSeq lists it as uncharacterized. Lineage: Eukaryota; Metazoa; Chordata; Mammalia; Dasyuromorphia; Dasyuridae. The record is from RefSeq and is a predicted model, not a curated record. The transcript is spliced from 3 exons.
GUUGAGAACUAGCAGUGAAGGGGUAAUGAUCUCGGUGGUCUUAAUAAGACAAGAACUGACAAGACAAUGAGGAGGAUGAAAAAAUUGAAAAGAGCUGGGAGCAGAAGGAAGGGAGCACUCUGCCAGUUUGACCCUUACUACAAGUUUCAACUGAAGUAUGAUGCCUAUAAACUUUCCCAACUACUUUCUGCCCACCUCUUCCACUUCUGUGAUGCUAAGAAGGAAAUAGAGUUUCAGAAGAAAAAAAAAAAAAGUCUGCAUAAUGAGGCACUGCAAGGAGAUGAGUGAACUCAGACGCGAAACGAACAGACCAUUUGAGAGGCUAGGAAAAGCGGCUGGACAUUCACAAAUUGCUUUCAAAGCAAUUAGAAGGAGUCUACUCAGCUCCCAAUCUCAUCUCAGAGUGUCUCAUAGAGAGGGCCUCUCUUAGGCACUUUCCAAGAGGAAGGGGGAGCCCAGAAGGAAGAGAUUUCGAAGUGAAUUUCACACUUGACUGCUUGGGCAGUGCCUGGGGCAGGAGCCACAGGCCAAAUAGUCAUGGAAAACUCCAAAGAAAUUACAUCACCUUUGGGUCAGGAACAGAAAAGAAAUACAGGUGACCUGUUCUUUGAGGAGGCUGAUUUUUUUAAACCCCUCAAAUAAAAAAAAUACUCAUGUGUUCUUACUACCCCUGCCCGACUUGCUCCCACUGAAAUCAACACUUUCCCUUGCUUGAGACGAUAAACUUUGA